This 497-nucleotide ribosomal RNA is filed under the name uncultured bacterium. Its description in RNAcentral is "partial 16S ribosomal RNA". It matches the Rfam family "Bacterial small subunit ribosomal RNA", at positions 28 to 507 of the family's 1533-position model. The record is from RNAcentral.
GACGAACGCUGGCGGCGUGCCUAAUACAUGCAAGUUGAGCGCUGAAGGUUGGUACUUGUACCAACUGGAUGAGCAGCGAACGGGUGAGUAACGCGUGGGGAAUCUGCCUUUGAGCGGGGGACAACAUUUGGAAACGAAUGCUAAUACCGCAUAAAAACUUUAAACACAAGUUUUAAGUUUGAAAGAUGCAAUUGCAUCACUCAAAGAUGAUCCCGCGUUGUAUUAGCUAGUUGGUGAGGUAAAGGCUCACCAAGGCGAUGAUACAUAGCCGACCUGAGAGGGUGAUCGGCCACAUUGGGACUGAGACACGGCCCAAACUCCUACGGGAGGCAGCAGUAGGGAAUCGUCGGCAAUGGACGAAAGUCUGACCGAGCAACGCCGCGUGAGUGAAGAAGGUUGUCGGAUCGGAAAACUCUGUUGGUAGAGAAGAACGUUGGUGAGAGUGGAAAGCUCAUCAAGUGACGGUAACUACCCAGAAAGGGACGGCUAACUACGUG